GGUCUAAUUUUCAUACACAGUGGAUUUGCCAUGGAAACACCGAGUAUGUGCACAAGAGUCCUGUUGGAUCUGGAAAAGUGAGGAACUUUGAAAAUGCAUCACACUGCCUGCGUACUGAUGCUGCCCCAAAUUCUAUAUCCCCCUGGAAUCAGCAUGGCUGCAGGAACAUCUUCUCUCUGCCGGUCAAGGACACUCCUCAGCAGAGUGGCCCUUUCCGAAGCUGAAACAACUUCUGCCUCUACUUGCAUGGCUUCCCAAAGGCUGGAUCCUUGUGGGAAUGCAUUUCAAAAGGGAAGAAUCAACUGAUUUCGGGGCAUGCAAUCAAGACCCUAGGUAUCAGUAUGAAGGAGUUCUUCAUAUAAUCUGGAUAUGAGCCUCAGUUAGGUAUAUGUAUAGUAAAGAGUUUCUCCCA
This is a long non-coding RNA of Homo sapiens (human), 412 nucleotides long. The record is from Ensembl. Lineage: Eukaryota; Metazoa; Chordata; Mammalia; Primates; Hominidae.